UUGCCGAAAGAUCGGCCCGCGUCGGAUUAGCUAGUUGGUGGGGUAAUGGCUCACCAAGGCGACGAUCCGUAGCUGGUCUGAGAGGAUGACCAGCCACACUGGGACUGAGACACGGCCCAG
RNAcentral lists this ribosomal RNA (120 nucleotides) under uncultured bacterium. RNAcentral describes it as "partial 16S ribosomal RNA". It matches the Rfam family "Bacterial small subunit ribosomal RNA", at positions 215 to 334 of the family's 1533-position model. The record is from RNAcentral.